AGUUUGAUCCUGGCUCAGAACGAACGCUGGCGGCAGGCUUAACACAUGCAAGUCGAACGCCCCGCAAGGGGAGUGGCAGACGGGUGAGUAACGCGUGGGAACGUACCUUUCGCUUCGGAAUAUUCCCGGGAAACUGGGAGCAAUGCCGAAUACGCCGUAUUGGGAAAGAUUUAUCGGCGAAAGAUCGGCCCGCGUUAGAUUAGGUAGUUGGCGGUGUAAUGGACCACCAAGCCUACGAUCUAUAGCUGGUCUGAGAGGAUGAUCAGCCACACUGGGACUGAGACACGGCCCAGACUCCUACGGGAGGCAGCAGUGGGGAAUCUUGGACAAUGGGCGAAAGCCUGAUCCAGCCAUGCCGCGUGUGUGAUGAAGGCCCUAGGGUUGUAAAGCACUUUCGGUUGGGGAUGAUAAUGACCGUACCCAAAGAAGAAGCACCGGCUAACUUCGUG
This 449-nucleotide ribosomal RNA is filed under the name uncultured bacterium. RNAcentral's name for it is "bacterial SSU rRNA". It matches the Rfam family "Bacterial small subunit ribosomal RNA", at positions 10 to 507 of the family's 1533-position model. The record is from RNAcentral.